This is a long non-coding RNA of Chinchilla lanigera (long-tailed chinchilla), 571 nucleotides long. RefSeq lists it as uncharacterized. The transcript has 3 exons. The record is from RefSeq and is a predicted model, not a curated record. NCBI's taxonomy places the organism in Eukaryota, Metazoa, Chordata, Mammalia, Rodentia, Chinchillidae.
UCGCAGAAGAGAGGGUUUCUUACUUUGUGUUUCCCAAAGUCAUGCCAAGAAUUCAGUAGUCAAAGGAAAAAUACUGAAUGGCAACAGUGAUCAGCGCUCCCACCCCGCCCGCUUAGUGAGAACCUCCUUGCCUCCUAGCCGUCCCAGCCCAAACCGCUGAGGGGUCAGGAGUGAUCUGAGUGUGGGAUGGGGCGAGGUCGCCCCAUCAGCCUGAUAAGAACGCUGUGUGAGGCCACACCCCCAACGCCCAUUCACUGGGCAGAACACUGCCACCAGGGGCACAGCUGGUGAGGCCCCAGAAAGGGCUCCAGUCUUUGUAGAGUCGACCAAAAGUCAUUAAGGUAGAGAAGGCCCUACUCACUCCAAGAACCUAGUUCUCUCCAGGAAGCGCUAAAAUUGGAUCAGUGUGGAAAGCCAAAAGGAGAUGAAGAGCAGGCUUGGAGAAUAAAUACUGUAUGUACAGAAGAGCCUCUGUUCUCUAGAGAUUUUUUUUGUAUAACUCAGCUUUCAUCAGCCAAACAUCCAAAGAAGACCGUACCACCCUGACAUUAAAAAAAUAAAAAGUAAAACA